UCGGGUUUAAUACUCAAAUAAUCAAUCCAUUAUUGCAUUCGUGAAACGGCUAGCGGGUUCAUUAAUCAAAUGAUCAAUUCAUUAUUGCGUUCUUGAAACGACUAACGGGUUCAAUAUCAAUUCGUUAAUGUAAUCUUGAGGGGUACGCUUCACUUAGUUUGACUGUAAUAUGUUAGUUAUUGCCGUUAAUGGAUUUUACACCCAAAGUCACACACAGUACGCUUGGGCCGCCUGUGAGUUGACCGGUAACACAACACGUGUUGCAAAGAAGGUCGCCAAAACGGCGUUAAAUGGGCCGUAAACGACAAAGAAGUUGACUGUUGACACCGCAGGCGUUACAAAGCAAGUCGCCAAAACAGCGUUAAAACAACCAUUGGCAACAAAGCGGGUACGGAAAAAAAUUUACAUCCCAAAGUCACACAGUACGCCGCCUGUGUUCAUAUGGCCUUGGAAGACAAGGCAAGCAAAACACGACAGCACAACAACAAGGCAAGGUAAACUUGUAGGUAUCGAGCAUAGUUUGUGAAAGACAUUCAAUCUUUGUACUCGACUUCAAUGUAUCAAGAGGUUUUUGAAUUGAUAUUUGCUGAAAGGUGACCGUGGCCUAUCCAAACUCGAAAAAUUAUAACAUUUCGGCGUUCUCAAAUAAUCGUUACUAUGAAGCGGCCUUUGUGUGUUUCGUGAGUCCUGACGUGACAUUAUUUUACGGGUACGAACACUCUUUAUUUUAUCCUUACGACUCGUUUUUUAUUAUUGAUAUUUUAUUUUACCCUCAGUCUGCAAUUUACCUCUAGCCUGCAAUCUACCUCGAGUCUGCAAUCUGCAGUCUGCAUCUUAACCUCAGUCUACAUUUUACCCCCGGUCUGCAGUCU
Molecule: long non-coding RNA, 872 nt
Organism: Stylophora pistillata
Lineage: Eukaryota; Metazoa; Cnidaria; Anthozoa; Scleractinia; Pocilloporidae
Source: RefSeq, a predicted model, not a curated record